This 548-nucleotide ribosomal RNA is filed under the name uncultured Bifidobacterium sp. RNAcentral describes it as "bacterial SSU rRNA". It matches the Rfam family "Bacterial small subunit ribosomal RNA", at positions 147 to 710 of the family's 1533-position model. The record is from RNAcentral. Lineage: Bacteria; Bacillati; Actinomycetota; Actinomycetes; Bifidobacteriales; Bifidobacteriaceae.
CUCCUGGAAACGGGUGGUAAUGCCGGAUGUUCCAGUUGAUCGCAUGGUCUUCUGGGAAAGCUUUCGCGGUAUGGGAUGGGGUCGCGUCCUAUCAGCUUGACGGCGGGGUAACGGCCCACCGUGGCUUUCACGGGUAGCCGGCCUGAGAGGGCGACCGGCCACAUUGGGACUGAGAUACGGCCCACACUCCUACGGGAGGCAGCAGUGGGGAAUAUUGCACAAUGGGCGCAAGCCUGAUGCAGCGACCCCCCGUGAGGGAUGGAGGCCUUCGGGUUGUAAACCUCUUUUAUCGGGGAGCAAGCGUGAGUGAGUUUACCCGUUGAAUAAGCACCGGCUAACUACGUGCCAGCAGCCGCGGUAAUACGUAGGGUGCAAGCGUUAUCCGGAAUUAUUGGGCGUAAAGGGCUCGUAAGCGGUUCGUCGCGUCCGGUGUGAAAGUCCAUCGCUUAACGGUGGAUCCGCGCCGGGUACGGGCGGGCUUGAGUGCGGUAGGGGAGACUGGAAUUCCCGGUGUAACGGUGGAAUGUGUAGAUAUCGGGAAGAACACC